RNA transcript from Homarus americanus (American lobster), 9310 nucleotides. It is a transcript of the gene named rho-associated protein kinase 2-like, with no coding region annotated. The transcript is spliced from 29 exons. The record is from RefSeq and is a predicted model, not a curated record. Lineage: Eukaryota; Metazoa; Arthropoda; Malacostraca; Decapoda; Nephropidae.
CCAUAUUAAUGUGUGACUGUGGCGAAGGAUGGCUUCUUAUUUAUUAUUUUAUACCUCUGUAAAGCCUCUCUGUUGAUAUCAAGCCACGUCCACACCCUGAGCUUUAGAUGAUGUGACAGGAAAUGUGACAAUGAUGGAAUCAAUCACGGACAGUGACCGUCUACAGCGGCUCCGUGAACUUGAAGCUCAACUACGGGACCCUCGAGGCAUCGUCAAUGUCGACUCACUCUUGGACGCAGUGCAGGCGAUGGUCGCUGACUGCGAUCAUCAGGCCAUCAGGAGAAAUAAGAAUGUCGAUGCUUUCCUUAACAGAUAUCGGGAGUCCAUAUUGGAUGUGGAGUUAUUGCGAAUGCGGGCGGAAGAUUUCACAAAUAUCAAAGUCAUCGGGAGAGGGGCAUUUGGUGAAGUUCAGCUUGUUAGACAUAGAUUUACUAAAAAGGUCUAUGCAAUGAAACUAUUAAGUAAAUUUGAAAUGAUUAAAAGAUCGGACUCCGCCUUUUUCUGGGAGGAGCGAGACAUCAUGGCCCACGCUAAUUCGGAGUGGAUCGUCCAACUACAUUUUGCGUUCCAAGAUUCUAAGUUCCUGUACAUGGUGAUGGAUUACAUGCCAGGUGGUGAUCUCGUUAACCUCAUGUCCAAUUAUGACGUCCCCGAGAAAUGGGCCAAGUUCUUUUGUGCAGAAGUUGUGUUGGCUCUUGAUGCCAUUCACUCCAUGGGUUUCGUUCACAGAGAUGUGAAGCCCGACAAUAUGCUCCUAGACAGUAGUGGUCACCUCAAGCUGGCUGACUUUGGUACUUGUAUGAAGAUGGAUAAGGACGGCUUGGUGAGAUCUGACACGGCCGUAGGAACCCCCGACUACAUCUCCCCGGAGGUCCUCAAGUCCCAGGGCGGGGAGGGGGUGUACGGCCGUGAGUGUGACUGGUGGUCGGUGGGCGUGUUCCUCUACGAGAUGUUGGUAGGGGACACUCCCUUCUACGCGGACUCUCUGGUUGGCACCUACGGCAAGAUCAUGGACCAUAAAAAUUCCCUUAAGUUUCCCGAGGAUAUUGAGAUCUCCACCGAAGCCAAGAGUCUUAUAUGUGGCUUCCUAACAGACAGAUUAACGCGGUUGGGUGGUAACGGUGUAGAUGAAAUUAAGCGACACAAAUUUUUCGUCAAUGACCAAUGGACGUUUGACACUAUUAGAGAAUGUGUACCGCCAGUAGUUCCGGACCUCACGAGCGAUGAUGACACCAGUAAUUUUGACGAGGUGGAGAACGAGGACACACCAGAGGAGAGCUUCCCAAACCCUAAGGCCUUCGUGGGCAACCAUCUCCCAUUUGUUGGCUUCACGUACUCCAAGGACUACCGGUUACUUAGCACGAUAGACAAGCCGGACGGUAAAAGAAAUUUGAACACAUUGAUAUGGGAUUUGUUGAAGACCAACGACGGCACCGAUGUGAGUAACCAGAUUGCCGUCCUGAGCGCCGAGGUGGAGCACCAGAGGAGCCAGGCGGAGGAGUUGGACAGCAAGUACCGGGUAACGCUGAGUCAGUUGGACGUCCUCACGCGGAAGGACCUCGAGAGGCAGCAGGAGAGACGAGACCUGGAUAGAAAGUUGGCUCUGUUACAACAUGAUGUGAAGGAAGCUCAGAGGAAGGCGGACAAUGAAGUGGAAAGCAGACGGAAACUCGACGGACUGUACCAGGAGGUGAAGAAGAAGCUGGAGGACGAGCAGAACAAGCGCACCCGGGACCUCUCCUCGGCAAAACACGCCGAGGAUAAACUAAACUCGCUAGAAAAACAGCUCAAAGAAGUCCAGGAGAAGUUGAAGACGGAGACGGACGGCAACACCCGUCUCCGCAAACAAAACGCGGAGCUCAACGUGAUAAACCAACGUAAAGACGCCUCGGUGACGGAGUACAUGGAGAAGAUCACGUCAGUCCAGUCAGUGAGGGACACCCUAGAGAGAGACCUGGUGAACCUACAGACACAGCUGGACCAGGAGCGAUCGCAUAAGAACCAUCAGGCCGAUCUCGUCUCACAAGCUGAAAUCAAAAUACAGGCGUUACAGUCCAAGCUUGAUAGUGCUUUUGAUAGAGAGUCCGUCGCUCGAAAAGAAGCCGAGAAGGUGUCCGAGCGUCUGGUACAGUUGGAGAAAGACAGAAACUCGCUCGAAUUGGAGUUACGGGGAAUGACGAGCCGUUACGAGCAGGAGGCAAGAGCUCUACGGGAGGCCAACAACGCUGCCCCGACACACAACCACCAGUCCAGUGCCCAGGCUCUUGCAGCCUUGCAGGACCGUCUGAACGCAGAGAAGCAGAAACGUCAACAGGCAGAGGCGUCUAGUCAGGAGAAGGAGCGUCAGAACUCCAUGCUGAGCGUUGACUACCGGCAGCUGCAGCAACAACUCCACAAGCUCGAGGGAGAGUACCGGCAGGAGUGCGAGAAGGUCAAAGCUCUGCAGAAACAAGUGGAGACAGAGACGGAAAAGAGAUCUGGUAUUGCCUCGGAUCUCCAAGCCCAGUCAUCGGAGGUCGCACUCUUACGCACCAGAGAAAAGUUACUCAUCCGUGACCUGGAAGAAGCUAAAGAGGCGCGGUCAAGCCUCGAGGAGGAGCUGCACAAACUCAAAACGCAGAAGUCGGUUGACGAUGUGCAGAUGAGGGAACUACAGGACACCCUCGAGGCGGAGCAGUACUUCUCUACACUCUACAAGACUCAGGUACGGGAGCUUCGUGAAGAGGCAGAAGACAAGAGCCGACAGGUGAUGGAGUUGGAGGAGGAGCGCACGAGCCUCACUCAACAGUUGCAGUUGGCUGUUGGACGAGCCGACUCCGAGGCUCUGGCCUGCUCCAUCGCAGAGGAGACAGUAGCAGAGCUGGAGAAGGAGAAGACUGUGAAAGAAUUAGAAAUUCAGGAUCUUCUUUCCAGACAUACAUCAGACAUCACUGAGAAAGAUUCUGUUCUUAAUGCUAUAAUGGAACGAGAACAGGAGCUGAAUCGGUCAGUGGAGAGCCUCAAGCAAGACAAGGAGGCGCUUAAUGCUCAGGUCCAGCGUCUUGAGGAAGAGUACAAGAAGACCACGUAUGAUCGUAAGGAGGAGCUGGACAAACUUAGUAAACAGCUGAAACAAGAACAGCUCCUGAAGAUGCAGGCGGUCAACAAACUAGCGGAGAUCAUGGCCCGCAAGGAGAAUCUCCCGGCCAGUCGUAAACCCAAGGCCUCGGCCAACGACCUGAGGAGAAAAGAGAAGGAGUGUAGGAAGUUACAGCAGGAGUUGACCAUGGAACGUGACAAGUUCUCUCAAAUGGUGUCCAAAUAUCAGAAGGAAGUCCAGGAUCUUCAGGCGCUGUUGUACGAGGAGAGUCAGGCCAAGGUACGACUUCAGAUGGAGGCCGACUCUAAGGACUCCGAGAUUGAGUCCCUCACCUGCAAGCUGGCCAACAUCAACAGUGAGACGGCUUCCCUCAGUAGUGGCGCUGACAACGACAUCGAUGAGUUGGAAUCCCGGCUGGAGGGUUGGCUGUCCAUACCCAACAAACAGAAUAUAAAACGUCACGGCUGGCGGCGGCAGUACGUGGUGGUGUCGUCCAGGAAAAUCAUCUUCUACAACUCCGAGAACGAUAAACAAAACUCGGAUCCCAUUCUCAUCCUCGACCUAACAAAACUCUUUCAUGUUCGGUCAGUAACACAAGGUGAUGUUAUUAGAGCGGAGGCACGAGACAUCCCCAGAAUAUUCCAGUUGUUAUACGCUGGUGAAGGGGAGAGUCGAAAGCCCGGCGAUAACCCUGGUCCUCUGGCUCUCCUCGAGGGUGCAGGCCCGGACAAAGCAGGGACUCUAGUCCACAAAGGCCAUGAAUUUUUGGCUAUUAGCUUCCACAUGCCCACCAACUGUGAGGUCUGUCAGCGGCACCUGUGGCACAUGUUCAAACCUCCACCGGCUCUUGAGUGUAGACGGUGUCGUUUGAAGAUCCACCGGGACCACCUGGAGCGCAAAGAGGAGUUGGUGGCUCCAUGUAAAGUUAACUAUGAUUUGAAUACAGCCAAGGAACUACUGCUUCUGGCUCCCACAGUUGAAUGCCAGCAGAAUUGGGUACUGCGGUUGUCGAAGAAGAUUCAAAAGUCAGGGUACAAGGCCAACAAUGCUGGUGGCCCUGACGGUGCCAAAGUCUCCCCUAGAAUGUAAAAGCCUUUAGGACUAUGCAGCUUCAGACAACAAGUAAAUGAGGGAGUAUUUACACUUGAGUUUUGCCGCCAAGAGAGUCAACCAGAUCAUCUUAUCGUCCAUUUGUUGUACAGAAGUCUGCCACUUUGCCCCCAAACUCCAAUUUAAGUAGAAAAUAGUGCAAUCCUGAGGCUAAUAUAUACCUGCUCUCCUACCAUGAGGUCUAUUAGCGACUCUCUUGUUUUUUGAAGAUUGCCUUCGAUGUAGAAUCAAAGAGACAUAACGGCUGUUUAUGGGAAUCAUGGAGACUUCAAUGGAAAAGCUUCUGAAUCCCUCCAUUGUCCUGAGAGUCAGCGUGUAGUGUAGCGUAAACCUCGACGUUGAGGAUGAAAACGAGAGAGUGAAGUAGACAGUACUCUGACUAGCGAAGAUAUUAGUGUAAAGUAUUGAGGACAAGUGCCUUAUCAAGUCCUAGUUAUGUACAUUGUUUUAAAGAUCCUGUUCGUAUUUCUCCUUCAGGAACAAUAAGACGAAAAAAAAUAGUAUGUCAUGAAGAAUUUUUUGGUACAAGAGAGCGUUAUUUUGUAUAUGUUUCUAAUAGUUUCUGUGUAACACUUAAUGCUUCCAGUAUAGAUCCAUAAGUUGUCCUCCAAGUGUGUCGUCCAGACUACUGCAAGCGAGUUAAUGCAAAAUAAAAAACAAAACAACCAAACUACUGCAUUUGUGAUGUGUGUGUGUGUGUGCGUGCGUGCGUGUGUGGUUCGUAAAGGUGUGUCGUCCCUCUGUAAGUACAGUCAACGUUUUCUGGGUAAUUUAUUCGAGGUGGUUUACGUUUCCGUGAAAUCUGCGGGAUGUUUUGACUUCCCAAGUUUUUUAUAUUGACAUUUUAGGUUUUAAAGCCAUUUUAUAUUGGAAGAAUCUAAACGCACCUUGAUGUUAAACUACUCUGGCUGAGCACAUUCUGUAAAUAGUGUAUUGACAUGCGUGAAUGUGGUCUUGAGUGAGUGAAUGGUAGUAAUAUUAAAGUCAUAAUCAGAAGUCAAGUUGAGUUGUGUUUGAGCAAGACCAGAAUAAUUUUUUUUUAUAUAUUAUAUAUAUAUAUAGACAAUUUGUAUGAAUAAUUAUAAUAUAAUAACCUAGAAGUUCAAAAUGCAAGUGAUUCCAUGAUGUGAGUCUUGAAAGUUAGGUUGGAUAGUUCAGAUGGGACCUUACUGCUGAGUUAACUUCAGAGUACCGCUUGUUAUAUAUACAGUAUCACGCCACCCGUUGUAGCCGAGCUGUUCUCACACUUGUUGUUAUCUAACGCCACCCGUCUCCAUCCUCAAAGUUUCCUAUUCCCAGUUCAUUGUGAUUUUCUAUGUAACUUUUGAUGAAAUGUAGUAGGACUUGUGUGAUACUUCCAGUUGCCAUUCCUCCCAAACAGAGAGUCUCUACUGAACAGAAGCAUGAGACAAGAUUCACUGAAUUAGCUAGACUAGACUGUAUGGGCAUUUUCAUUCUAGCUCCCAUAGGUUAUGUUUCAGUGCAUUAACCUUUAUAGGAGUAAACUUGAAAAAGAAGUGUCAGAUGUGUCAAGAUAUAGUGCAAGAAAUUUUGUAUAAGGAGAGGUAUUUUAUGAAUGAAAAAAAAAUAUACUGUAUGUAGAUUAUCACCCAGGAUGGCAAUACUGUACGCUUAUUCAGUAAUUACCUCUCAAGCUGCUGUGUAAUGAAGGUCUGCUGUGAUUGGACAGAUCUCUGAAUCUUAACCUUCAUCUUUUUUCACAACCGACACCCAUGGACUUCAUUCCACUGCUUGUGAUGUUCCUUCCUCUUGUGUAUAGUGUAAAGACUUGAUCGCCGUCGUACAGGUGUGUGACUGACUUACUGUACGAUGACUUUCUUCCUCUACCUUCAGAUGAGUCCAUUCUAUAAAUAAUUUAUUCUAAUUAAUAAAAACAAUGCAUGCCUGUGAACAAUAAGUGAUGUAAUGUUUCACUUAACUUGUAAAACUGUAGAGUAAUUGCUCAAAUUUGCUAAAGCAAACUAAAGUUGUGAUUUUUUGCUUAAAUUACGGGACUUAUAGUUCCUACAAAGCGCCUGACAGCCUCCUUGUUAUGAUGCAGUCUCUAGUUGUACAGUACAGUAAUAGCAGAUACAAUAAUAUACAACAAUGUGAAUAUAUACUUAUGCCCAAUGUCUAGUACAGUACAUUCAACUACUAAGUCCAUUCACCUCUCUCCCUGAACUAUGAACAACCCCAAGAUUCAGACUUGAACCCGAAGCAGUACAGUAGAUUGAUAUAUUAUUCUGUCCAAAAGUCCUUUGGAUUCAUGAGUCUGAAUCUUGGGGUUCAUGAUUCUAGAAGAGAAGCAAACAGACUUUAUGUUGUGUACACGACUAAGGAUGAGUUUGAUAGAGCUAAGGAAGACUUAAGAGUAUAAAUAAGACAGAUAAAUAUUAUGUCUUGAGAGAGUUUGAUACAGUUUAACGUGACUGAAAUUUAAGUCUGCGUAUACCGUACUUUAGCUAAGAUCCGAUGAUGUUAUCCAUUCAUAGACUUAAUACUACUAGUUUAUCUUCUGCUGAUCAACACAGGCAGAGAAACACAGGGAUUUGAUGGAGAUUUCACGAGUCAAAGAAAGGUGCAGCAAUUAGCUGUUUACUUUCUUAGAAAUAUACUUACAAUAAAGGACAGAAACAUUGGAUUAAAACAUUGAUGCAUUUUUUGAUGCCCACUGGUGACCUCUUCAGCUGGGUAGCAGAGUGAAGCAUCGUCUUCCUCCUCCCAACUGUAAUGGGCAUAAUGUAAUGUUUUAAUUCUUUGUCCUUUUAUUGUGGGUCUAAUUUCUAAGCUGACAUACACUUUAUUAUUAAACUUUCUAAUCAUUAUUUCUAUAUGUGACCAGAAUUAUUUUUCAUGUCUGAUUUGUCAUAGAAGUUACUUGCAUGCGCUGGUUAGGUUAAGUAUUAUAAGAAACUUGUAAUCACUUUAAUUGCUGUCAGUGAUCAAGGACUUUGAGUUUCUAUAAAAAAAAUAGUUUUACUUUUUGCAAUGUGAUAAAAGGGUUGUUAUGAUUAUUGGUUACAAGCGAACAUAUUCCUUUCAACAUUAAAUAUAUUUUUUCUAAAUUUGCUGCCUUAUAGUAUUGAAUUAUAGUGUUAAACUUGACAUAGUGGCAAGAAUGAUGUGUAUAAUAAUUGCACUAAAGCUUGAAAUUUUGCUGAGUUGGCCAAAUACAAUCAAUUAUACCGUAUAAUUUGUUCUAUGUGUGUGAGUCAUGUGAUCAUUGAGCCUGGAGUGUACAGGUGUUCUUAAGAAAUGGGAAAAAUGUGUUUACAGUACUACUUUUUUCUUUAUAUUUCUCUAACUAUUACCUGAUACUAAUUGUCAAUGUCGUCGUCGUCUAUAUAAUUACAUGAUGCUCCCUCCUUUAACAUAGCCACAUCAUUAACAUAAGCAGAGUUUGUCAAAUGAUUAUUUUAGCCAGUCAAGUGCCUCUUAUUUAUAAUACAUUCGAUACAGGUAACUUAAUAUAGUCAGGUUUAUGGGGAAGACUAUUGAGUGAUAUCAAAACAUUUUAAGAUGCUGUGUGUUGAAGUGAAUUUGGUGGUCAGUUUUUGCCUUGAGUAUUAUUGUUGGUUUACACACGAAGAAACUAAAUUGUUGUUGUAAAAUAUCAUAGGUAAUAUACUGUGAAAUUUGGUCAUUGAUCUCAAAAUGAAACACUUUAAUGUACAUAUUCUAAUGCAUUAAUGGCAAGGAUGUUGUGUGAAGGGGUAACAGUAUAGUACUUAGGGACGGUAAAUAUAUACCCUGUAGUACCAUAAUGCUGCCGAUAAUCACGUAAAUAUUAGGUUUCAAGAAUAUUUACAUUUAGAAUUGGAGGAAGAACAGGAUGGACAGGAAUGAUUCAAGAAACACACAACGUCAGGUAGAGUUCGAUCAGAUUUUUGUUCAAUGCCGUGUAUAUUUUUUUAUUGCCGUGCUGCCGUCUGUUUUAUAAAAGCUUAAAAAAAAUCACAUUAUUAAUUAUUUUUUGUACAAUUUGGUUUUGAGAUGAAUGUAAUUGAAUUUUUUUGAUGAGUUUUAAUUCAGGCAACAUGUUAUUAAUUUCUUUAUAAAUUGUGAGUAAGUUUGCCAUAUAGUGACUUGGAUUUAAUUUUUUUUUCCCUCGUCGAUUAAUGCAAGUCAGCGAAGAAAUAAAUUUCCUAAAGAAGGGGGAAAAAAUGUGAAGAAUGUGUAGCUGUGAUAAGGUAUAUACUGUAUGUUUUAUUGUAGAUGUUAAGGAAUUGAAAUGGAUGAUAUCUGAAUUUUUUAAGUCAUUGUAAUACUGUACUUCUCUUGCUAGAUGUGAUGCAUUAGUGCAAUUUUAAUAUUUUCCUUAUCACUUUUUCUUUUUUCUGUUCACUUGUAUUGAUUCUUGUCUUAAUUUUCAGCACAAAGUCAUUCUCUUUGUAGUUUUUUCUCACAGAUCAAGUUAUGUAUACUGUACCUUUUUCUCUCUCUCUACUUAAACAGAAAGUAUUUAUUUUUCCAUGACCAAACUUAUGUACUUUCAGAUUUUAGUCAUAAUUGUUCAUGUAGUGCUAUCACCGUGUACAGUGAGACCUCUAUUUAAUGGACUACACGGAGAGGAAAGUCCGCUAUAUCGAGGGUUCGUUGGGUGCGAAAGCUCCAUCUAACGAACUACUUAGAGAUGAAAGUCCUUUAUAAUGAGGGUCCGAUAGACAUGAACCCCCCCAUCUAGUGGAUUAUAUGAAGAGAGAUGUCCGUUAUAUGGAGGUUUCACUGUGAUUUAUUAAAGUGUAACACGUCGUAUGUAUUUACAGUGUUUCCUCUUGGCAUAAUAGGUGGUUAAGAAAUUUUUUUUUCAGUUAGACUGUAUCCCGAGGUCAUGAAGUAGGUAACAGUUCAGUAGUUUGUUUUGAUAUUUAGAUAUUCCAUUGGCAAUAAUUUAAAUUAUGUCUCAUGACUCUUGUGCUUACAUGUCUAAUAUGUCUAUCAGUAAUAUGUGUAUGACUUUGCCUGCCCUGCAUUCAUUGUGAGAACUGUACUGUAGUGACUCCAUCCCUUAGUUAGUGUUAAGCUCUCAUCAUCAUCCUUCUUCACUGUCUAGAUAUAGGAAGUGGUACUUGUUAAUCCCAAACUGAACAGUUAUCAUAAUUACACUGACCAAAUUUA